RNAcentral lists this long non-coding RNA (677 nucleotides) under Capra hircus (goat). Its description in RNAcentral is "lncRNA (ENSCHIG00010028250.1)". The record is from RNAcentral. Lineage: Eukaryota; Metazoa; Chordata; Mammalia; Artiodactyla; Bovidae.
CCCAGUCAGUUAGCAGGGACAGAGCAGUGGCUGCAAAGAUGGUCAACGACAAGUAAAGGAAGGAUAAAGAGAAACCUCAAGUUCUUUAGAAAUGAGGGUUUCCUGUUCCUGAACGCACCGUAGCAGCACGGUGAACACUGUCUAUACCAGGAAAAAGCUGAAAGCCACAAGCCACCAACGACCACAGGUACCUCGCGCUUUCUAAGUCCGCGUCAGAAGGAAGCAUGCGACGCAGGGGACCUCCGCGCGUCUCCCACCUGCGGCUGACCUGCGGACCUCCUGCGGGCAGAGACAGCUCCUUGCAAAGCAAACAGCUCCCCACUCUGCAUGGAAAGGCUCAUCUACUUCCUCGGUCCACACUGCAAGCAUCAGACUCCCUGAGAGUCACUGAGAGAGUGAAUCAGACUCAGCUGAUAAGCACAGAGCUGACCUUUAAACCCCAGCCUCUAAUAGAGCACUCCGUGUUUGCUCAAGCAUUCUGGGUCAGCAGGGUCUGCAUGUACCGAGGUGGGGCAAACCCAGGAGCCCGGCUCCAGCUCUCACAUGGCCCUGACGGAACAGGGCUGGGGGCUGGGCUAGCAGAGGCCCCACACCUCCUACCCCGACUUAGAACAUGCUAUCUUGCAGAGAGAGAGGGAGAGAGAGAGGUCUUGGGAGUAUACCAGUCAGCUGACUGA